AGUGUAGGCGGGAUCGUAAGUUAGGAGUUUAAAGCAUGGGCUUAACCCAUGAUCUGCUUUUAAUACUGCGGUUCUUGAGUAUGGGAGAGGGCGAUGGAAUUCCAGGUGUAGCGGUGGAAUGCGUAGAUAUCUGGAAGAACACCAGUAGCGAAGGCGGUCGCCUGGCCCAAUACUGACGCUGAUGCUCGAAAGCUAGGGGAGCAAACAGGAUUAGAUACCCUGGUAGUCCUAGCCGUAAACGAUGGACACUAGUUGCUGGAGGAGUCAAUCCUUUCGGUGACGAAGCUAACGCAUUAAGUGUCCCGCCUGGGGAGUACGCUCGCAAGGGUGAA
This 332-nucleotide ribosomal RNA is filed under the name uncultured bacterium. Its description in RNAcentral is "bacterial SSU rRNA". It matches the Rfam family "Bacterial small subunit ribosomal RNA", at positions 568 to 898 of the family's 1533-position model. The record is from RNAcentral.